GCCAUUCCGAGUCCGGCGGACGAAGUUGGCCUGCCCCACCCCCCAAGGCUAUAGCCCACCCGUUUUUGUGGGCUUUUUCCGCAAGACGAACUUGGCGCCCCGGCCUUCGGGCAGUUAUUUUUGGGCGCGGCUUUGCGAACGGCCACGUUUUGGCACACGGAGGCGACUUGCAAAGUCUCACGCCAUUCCGAGUCCGGCGGACGAUGUUGGCCAGCCCCACCCCCCAAGGCUAUAGCCCACCCGUUUUUGUGGCCUUUUUCCGCUGGACGAACUUGGCGCCCCGGCCUUCGGGCGGUUAUUUUUGGGCGCGGCUGUGCCCGCUGCC
Molecule: long non-coding RNA, 325 nt
Filed under: Citrus x clementina
Lineage: Eukaryota; Viridiplantae; Streptophyta; Magnoliopsida; Sapindales; Rutaceae
Description: Citrus clementina (C. clementina) long non-coding RNA (CCLE_LNC005075)
Source: RNAcentral